Molecule: ribosomal RNA, 475 nt
Filed under: uncultured organism
Description: bacterial SSU rRNA
Rfam family: Bacterial small subunit ribosomal RNA
Source: RNAcentral
GAUGAACGCUGGCGGCGCAUUUAAGACAUGCAAGUCGAACGGAAAAAUAUAUAAUGUUUACAUUAUAUAUUUUUUAGUGGCGGACGGGUGAGUAACACGUAGGUAACCUACCUAGAAGUAAGGAAUAGCUAGAAGAAAUUUUAGAUAAUACCAUAUAAGACCACACUAUCACAUGAUAGAGGGGUCAAAGGAGUAAUCCGCUUUUAGAUGGACCUGCGGCUGAUUAGUUAGUUGGAGUGGUAAUGGCACACCAAGACGAUGAUCAGUAGCCGAGCUGAGAGGCUGGCCGGCCACAUUGGGACUGAGACACGGCCCAGACUCCUACGGGAGGCAGCAGUUGGGAAUAUUGGACAAUGGAGGAAACUCUGAUCCAGUGACGCCGCGUGAAGGAAGAAGGUCUUCGGAUUGUAAACUUAUUUUGUCAGGGAAGAAAAAAAUGACGGUACCUGAAGAAGAAGCACCGGCAAACUACGUG